Acanthosepion pharaonis is the source of this 103-nucleotide non-coding RNA. Lineage: Eukaryota; Metazoa; Mollusca; Cephalopoda; Sepiida; Sepiidae. The record is from the annotation of a GenBank genome assembly.
UCACGUUGAAACACUGGUUCUCGUACGAUCACCAAAGUUAAGCAAAGUUGAGUUUGGUCAGUACCAAAAUGGGUGACAGCUUCGGAAUACCAGAUGCUGUAAG